This 253-nucleotide ribosomal RNA is filed under the name uncultured bacterium. RNAcentral describes it as "partial 16S ribosomal RNA". It matches the Rfam family "Bacterial small subunit ribosomal RNA", at positions 524 to 776 of the family's 1533-position model. The record is from RNAcentral.
UACGUAGGUGACCAGCGUUGUCCGGAUUUACUGGGCGUAAAGAGCGCGCAGGCGGUCGUUCAAGUCGAGUGUGAAAGCCCCCGGCUCAACUGGGGAGGGUCAUUCGAUACUGAUCGACUCGAAGGCAGGAGAGGGAAGCGGAAUUCCCGGUGUAGUGGUGAAAUGCGUAGAUAUCGGGAGGAACACCAGUGGCGAAGGCGGCUUCCUGGCCUGUUCUUGACGCUGAACCGCGAAAGCUAGGGGAGCAAACGGG